AGGUAGCACAAUCACUUGUUCUUUAAAUAAGGACUAGUAUGAAUGGCACCACGAAGACUAUACUGUCUCCUCUCUGGAAUCAGUGAAACUGAUCUUCCCGUGAAGAAGCGGGAAUUAUCAUAUAAGACGAGAAGACCCCAUGAAGCUUCAAAUUAAUAUUAACUGCCACCUCUACACCACCUCAACUUAGCAGAUCUAAUUAUUAACUUUAGGUUGGGGUGACCACGGAGUAAAACAAAACCUCCACAAUGAACGGAACUAAUUCCUAAUUCAAGAAUCACAAUUCUAAUAAUUAACAUAUUAACAUAACUUGACCCAAAUUUUUGAUCAAUGAACCAAGUUACUCUGGGGAUAACAGCGCAAUCCAUUUCAAGAGCCCAUAUCGACAAAUGGGUUUACGACCUCGAUGUUGGAUCAGGGUAUCCUAGUGGUGCAGCCGCUACUAAAGGUUCGUUUGUUCAACGAUUAAAACCCUACGUGAUCUG
RNAcentral lists this ribosomal RNA (485 nucleotides) under Arthroleptis stenodactylus (common squeaker). RNAcentral describes it as "partial large subunit ribosomal RNA". It matches the Rfam family "Bacterial large subunit ribosomal RNA", at positions 1954 to 2607 of the family's 2925-position model. The record is from RNAcentral. Lineage: Eukaryota; Metazoa; Chordata; Amphibia; Anura; Arthroleptidae.